GAUGAACGCUAGCGGCAGGCUUAAUACAUGCAAGUCAAGGGGGUAGCAAUACAACCGGCGCACGGGUGAGUAACGCGUACACAACAUACCAUAUACUGGAGUAUAGCUUUGGGAAACUGAAGGUAAUCCUCCAUAACAUUGCGAGAGGGCAUCUGAUUGCAAUUAAAGUUUCGGCGGUAUAUGAUUGGUGUGCGUUUGAUUAGCUAGUUGGUAGGGUAACGGCCUACCAAGGCGACGAUCAAUAGCUGGCGUGAGAGCGCGACCAGCCACACUGGAACUGAGACACGGUCCAGACUCCGUACGGGAGGCAGCAGUAGGGAAUAUUGGACAAUGGAGAAACUCUGAUCCAGCCAUGCCGCGUGAUAGAU
This 368-nucleotide ribosomal RNA is filed under the name uncultured bacterium. Its description in RNAcentral is "bacterial SSU rRNA". It matches the Rfam family "Bacterial small subunit ribosomal RNA", at positions 28 to 409 of the family's 1533-position model. The record is from RNAcentral.